Long non-coding RNA from Centruroides sculpturatus (bark scorpion), 1995 nucleotides. RefSeq lists it as uncharacterized. Lineage: Eukaryota; Metazoa; Arthropoda; Arachnida; Scorpiones; Buthidae. The record is from RefSeq and is a predicted model, not a curated record. The transcript is spliced from 3 exons.
GUUCUGUUAGGUGUUUCCAUCUGGUAUCAAGUAAGCGAUUUACGGUGAGCGGGAAAGUCAAUUCCCGUCAUGCCAAGCGCGACGGACAUCGCUUUUUCAAACAUGGCGUCGAAAUAUAACAUCGGAGAUCUCGUCUGGGCGAAAAUGAAGGGAUUUUCACCCUGGCCGGCCAAGUGGAUACACAAAAUAGCAAGAACUAUUAUGUAUAGCAGUGAUGUCUAAUCAAUCUGCAAUUCCUGGACUAAAUCUGACCUGCAAACAUAUUUGAUACAUUAUUUAUAAAUAAUAGAAAUAGGCCUACUUUCUUAUAUAUGGAAUGUAUAAAAUAUUUGUGGCCAACCUGACAGGUACAAUUUGGUACCACUGGUGUAUUGUAUGCACAUAACCCACAUGUACAAACACCUCUUCACCUACAAAAAGGUUGUGAUGUGCUAUAUUACACGUGUUUUGGACUAAUACUUUAUGAAGAAGCUCUAAAUUCAAAUUCCACCAAGAGUUUUUCUGCAGUUUCUUAUUUUUGCAGUUGUAUGAAAGAGACUGCUGGUUACAAUCUGCCAUACUGUUUGCUUUAUGAUGGAUUUCAUUCAUAUGAAUUGUUUGAGGACAGUAGUUUUUAUAGGAUGGUAGCCACCAUGAUUCAUCACUCAAAUCUGGACUUUUUUUAUGGGCUUUUCUGAAGAAAAAUAUUCCAGAAUAUGAUUAAAUGUAUGAAUAAGUGUUUAGAACAUAAUGGUUAUUAUUUUCAGUAUUUUAUAUAGGUAGUUUGGUUUAUUAUGUAAAUGGAUGAAGAAAAUUCAUAAUAUGAAAUAUCAAUGUAUAUUUAUCACUGAAAAUGUAAACAUGAAAAAAAUGAAAAUGUUAUGUAAAUGUUAAAUUGUAUUUAAUUACAUUAUUUAACUUGCCAAAGAAAUAUAAAGCCAUAAAAUGAAACUUAUUUUAUAUAUUAACAUAAUUUUAUUUUUAGUAAUAUUUUAAUUUUUGAUAUCACUUGGAAUAAGAUAUAACAAAUUGAAUUAAAUGCACAUAGUCUAUAUCAGUUUGUGAAAUCAGUAAAACUUCAGUAUAUUGAGUUUUGAAUAUACUGUUCUAAAUAGCACUAUGUUCACAAAGACCCAAUGACUACUUGUGCCAGAUAACUUUAAUAUUACGAAUUACUAAACGUAUCAAAUACUGUUGUAUGGCAAACAAUCAAAUUGCUAAAUCAUUGUGAAUUUCAAACUUUUAAACCCGGACUUGUGUGUAAAUCUCAUUAAUAAAGUAUAUGUAAUUCUUAUUGUUUGAAAAUUAUUUAAUAAUAUUCUAAAUUGCAUAUAAAUGUUGUUUUAAUUAAUUUAAAAAAUUAAUUUCUACACUAAGGUGUAAAGUAAUGGUAAUGGUAAAUGAAAAUGGUAAUGGCAUCAUUUUUAGUUAUGACUUUAUUGGCAAAAUGGUGAAAAGUAAUGCUGUUGUGUGUAAACAAAAUGAAACAUUGCACAGUUAAACUAAAGUCGUGGUCACACCUUGCAAUUUCCAGAUAUGCAGGCAACUGUAACUGCGAUGGCUGUUCCUGAUAACUAAUAAGCCCCUUCUAAAACCAGCACAACUGCAAACACAUCUAGAAACAAAAAGUUUGUUCUACUCAUGUCAAUUGCAAAAGCACAUUCAAUCAGCAAAUGCCUUUGAGCCAUGUCAUAUGGUGGCAACUUUGAAAAUAGUUAUCAUCAUGGUAGAAAUUGAGAAUACCAACACAUACAGAUGUAAAAUUGAUAUUGAUUGAGCUUAUUCAGGCACACAAAUGCCUGUGGAGUUUUAAUACCUCAUUUUAUCAAAGAUAAGAUAAAAGAACACAGGCAGGGCAUGAGAUAAGUGAGUCUUGCCACUAAUUGAAAGUACUAUUUUUAGAUUUCUGGAUAUAAAAUGUUGAUUGUAGUUUAGUAAUGAUAAUAUUAUUUUAAAUAUAGCUAAAGAACUAAGUAAAAAGUACCAUCAUUUGUGAAUGACAUUUCUUCAGAUUAA